RNAcentral lists this ribosomal RNA (598 nucleotides) under uncultured Clostridium sp. Its description in RNAcentral is "bacterial SSU rRNA". It matches the Rfam family "Bacterial small subunit ribosomal RNA", at positions 94 to 711 of the family's 1533-position model. Lineage: Bacteria; Bacillati; Bacillota; Clostridia; Eubacteriales; Clostridiaceae. The record is from RNAcentral.
AGCGGCGGACGGGUGAGUAACGCGUGGGUAACCUGCCCUGUACACACGGAUAACAUACCGAAAGGUAUGCUAAUACGAGAUAAUAUGCUUUUAUCGCAUGGUAGAAGUAUCAAAGCUUUUGCGGUACAGGAUGGACCCGCGUCUGAUUAGCUAGUUGGUAAGGUAACGGCUUACCAAGGCGACGAUCAGUAGCCGACCUGAGAGGGUGAUCGGCCACAUUGGAACUGAGACACGGUCCAAACUCCUACGGGAGGCAGCAGUGGGGAAUAUUGCACAAUGGGCGAAAGCCUGAUGCAGCAACGCCGCGUGAGCGAUGAAGGCCUUCGGGUCGUAAAGCUCUGUCCUCAAGGAAGAUAAUGACGGUACUUGAGGAGGAAGCCCCGGCUAACUACGUGCCAGCAGCCGCGGUAAUACGUAGGGGGCUAGCGUUAUCCGGAAUUACUGGGCGUAAAGGGUGCGUAGGUGGUUUCUUAAGUCAGAGGUGAAAGGCUACGGCUCAACCGUAGUAAGCCUUUGAAACUGGGAAACUUGAGUGCAGGAGAGGAGAGUGGAAUUCCUAGUGUAGCGGUGAAAUGCGUAGAUAUUAGGAGGAACACCA